UGUGGCUCAGGUCACUGCUGUGGUAUGGGUUCAAGGCCUGGCCCUGGAAUUUACAUAUAUACAUGUCAUGGGAAUGGCCAACAAAAAACCAAAAAAGCCCAGAUGUGUGGAACAGUCAUUGGUCCUGGGCUGAAUGGUGCCUUCGUGUGUAUCUGCCUAUGGUCGGAAAUGAAUUAGACGCGUAAAUAAAAUACAGGACGAAAUCAGAGCAGACCAAGUGGGAACCAUCCAAGAUAAGGUUUUACGAAUUACAGAGUAAGAUGAACACGCUUAUGUAGAAUCGUGGACUGUUUAGAGCAACAAAACCAAAGUUCUCACCUCUGGGAAUAAGAAGCAUCGUUUUAUUGUGUGUUGGAGCUGAGUUCAUGUGUGUUCCCUGUAUUUAAAAAAAAAAAAGUAAAAACGAGAAAAGGGACAAGUAGGAAACAAAGAGGAGAUUACAUCUGGAAUCAAAGCUAAUUAUGGCUUCAGUUCUGAGCCCAUUAGGAAAAAGAUCUGGGCUGGUCCUUCUGUGAGGAGAGCAGCAGAGAGACAGAUGCUUGUCAUGGUCAUUAGUCUUGUUUCUGAUUAGGGUGGUGAAUUCAUGCAUGUUGAUUGUAAUAAAUAACAUGAUUAAACGAAAAAAUAUGCCCAGUGAGCGCUGUGCCUGGGCCGGCAGUGAGUCUGUGUCUUGAAGCAAAGGUUGUGAUUUAUCCUGGGUUGCGCAGCCGUUGGCUGUUAGCAAACAUCUAGGUUGAUUCAUCCUUUUUAACAUCUGCCUUGUGUCCCACAGAACGGAGGCCCCAGAGUGGGUCCCCUGACAUGCCGCUGGUGAAGACCGUGGCCGUGACCUCUGUGGGAAACGAGCCAUGGACCAACCAACGUUAUUACAGAAUAUUGAGUCGAUCUCCUUGUGCUAUACAGAAAGAUUCAAAAAGGACCAAGAAUGGCGAUGGGGAGUGUGGAGUUGCAUGAAGACUAUUGGCUGAUCCUUGUGCCACCAGCGAGGUCCCCUGUAGAAAGAUUCUAUUAGGUCUGAGAGAAAUGAACAAAAAUCACAGAUUCAACAUACCCAAUCUGAUUGAUUCAGUGAUGAAGCUGUCAGCUGUCAGUAUCCGUGGAUACACAGCCAAGGGACUCACGUAAGGAACAGAUUUUUGUUUCAAAGGAACGAGUGGCUACUGCAACCGUAAAGUCAGAGGAGGCCUCCUGUGGAUCAUUAAUGAAAAUGUGAAAUGAACCACCGGUUGGGAUUAAUCCCUUUCAGUGCAACCGAGAUCCAUUCAAACCCCAUCGGAGGGUUUUACAUUCAUUUUCACAGUUGCUUAAUAUUCUGUUGCAUUUUUGCACCGCAUUUUAAGAGUAUUUCUCUAUUGAUAACAAUAACUCAUUGAGGAAGGAGCACCCGGGAAGAGAGACAGUGCUUUAGUGUUCUAGUUAUGGGGGUAAAUGGUAGGUUCGUUAUACUAUUUUUAAAAUACAAAGAAAUUCAAUGAAAGAUGAGCAAGCAGACAGUCGUAAAAUACAUGGCCCAUGUACGAAGCAAGGUUAUUGAUUAAUCUAUAUGUGAAACACUGAGAUCCAAUUAAACAGAGAUCUCAUUUGCUAGCUCUAUGGGAAAUAAAUGGUUGUCACCUGCUCUCUGCAAUAUUCAAAGAUCUUGCUCUUGGGUUUUUGUGAUUCAUGGAAAUUAAAUUUUUUUUAACAUCAGUGAAGCCAUGAAUGAAAGAAUCAAUAAAUAAUGUACAAACAAUCCCUAAACAAUGUAUAAAUAAGUACACGGAGAAAGAAUGUGGAGCUUGGAUCAAUGAUGAGAGUUCUGGGGUAUAUGAAUCAAGAACUUUGAUUAAACCCUAACUCUGAGAUCCAAUAGAAGGAGACUUUGUUCUUCCCUCUAAGGGAACAGAGUUCAGAGGAGAAGUUCAAGCCAGUUGGGGAGCUGUUGUUGGGUCUCUGUGGGUCCUGAGUAUGGAGUGUGUUGAUGCACGUGAAUGAACAUGUGUGUAAGUGAGUGAAGACAGCAAGGGUCGCACAUGAGUGAUUUAGGCGAGUGUCGUGAAACAAGUAUUCUUAGUCACAUGUUUACUUAGCACAGAGUUCCCGUGUGAUCGUGGGUCAAAGCUGUUACCCCCUUUGAAACACAGUAGCAACUCCAGAUACACAGGAGCGCACAGGCAGGUGCGACUUAGUGUCCAGGUUGGCAUGCUGGGCCGGUGGGAGCGUAUGUUGAUUCUCAGGUAAUUAUUUAUUGUUAUAAGGUAUAGGAUGAAGAUGAUUUUUAUCUCAAAUGAUUCUGAAAAAGAGGGCAGACGCUGAAGAGUAUGGCGCCUAUGAGGUGGAGGAAGAUUAAUGACUGAUCCUGUUCCACCCUCCUGAGGGCCAUAUAACAAGAUGGGACCUAGUUUCUCCCUGCUUCGAUUAAGUACAUGGAGAUAUGCCAGAAUGACCCCAGGACAGCACAUUUACUCAUUUUCUAAGGAACAAAAUCUUAGCAGUUAGCUCUGUGGCUUAAGAACAGAGAGAAAUUUAAGUAAGUAAGUCUCAAAUUUCCCAUUCUUGGUUAGGAUUUUUUUUUUUUUCACGAACAUUUAGUGGUAUUUCAAAAGAAUCAAUUCUAUCAAAGAAAUUAAAAUCCCAUAUAUGGAUCAAUGAUGGGAAUAUGUUAUGAAUCAAAAAUCAUGUUUGCACAGCCUCGUAAGUUAACUAUACUUCAAUGAAACUUAAGUUCUUUUUUUUUUUUGUCUUUUUAGGGCCACACCCAUGGCAUAUGGAGGUUCCCAGGCUAGGGGUCAAAUCAGAGCUACAGCUGCCAGUCUACACCACCACCACAGCAACACAGGAUCCGAGCCGCAUCUGAGAUCUACACCACCGCUCACGGCAACACCGGAUCCUUAACCCGCUGAGUGGUGCCAGGGAUCGAACCUGCGUCCUCAUGGAUGCUGGUCAGAUUUGUUUCCACUGAGCCAUGGCGGGAACUCCGUACUUCAAUAAAACUUAAAAAGAUCAUUUUUAGUUCAGCACAGCAGAGGCGGGAUUUCAGAAAGACAAUGGUCAUUUCUUUUAUUUUUAGACCCAUCAAGUAUUACAUUUUAUGUUCCUCUGCAAAUGACCAACAUUCCCAUAUUGGUGUAGCGCCGGCUGGCUGGUAAUUGUUUGUGUUGCAGGCCACCAGCCAGCGGAAGACGUUGUGUUUGAAAAGUGAUUAAAGAUGGUGGUUUCCUUUGCGGUACAGCAGCAGAAAUCCAUAGAACACUGUAAAUCAACUGUCCUUUAACAAAACAAAUUCUGGAAAGAUAGAGGUUUCAUCGCUUUUCAUUGAAACAUCUUUAAAACACGGGCACGUUGGGGUGAGGAGAUGCAAACUUUUGCAUUUGGGGUGGAGAAGCAAUGAGAUCCUGCUGUACAGCUUAUGGAACUAGAUCCAGUCGCUUGUGAUGGAACAGGAUGGAAGCUAAUGUGCGAAAAAGAACGUAUAUAUAUGUAUAACUGGGCCACUUUGCUGUACAGCAGAAAGGGGCAGAACAUUGUAAAUCAACUGUAAUAACAAAAUGGGCAAGUGAAUUAACAGAAAGCCGCAGAAGGGCCAAGGAUGAAUGUGGCUUUGGUAAGAAGGAUGGAUGUUAUUUGAUCAAACAUGUUCGCUGAGGUCCAUUUUAUAAAAGGAGGUAUUGUUGCUGGAGUUUUAUGAUUACAUUGUUCUUGGUGGAUCAGGUAACAAGUCAGUAAGUGAAGAGGUAAAGGCAGAAAACCACGUGUCUGGAUCGAUGAUGAGUACCAUGGGGUAUCUGAAACGGGAGUUUUGAUUAAACCCAUGUGGAAUUCUGAGGUCCUGUUACAGAGACACGCAGCGAAACCCUUCCCUCUGUGGGACCUGAGUGCAGAGUGCAUCGUGCUUCCACCUUUGUGGUUGUUAUGGAUGGGCUGUCUUUUUAGUAUAAAGUUGACUCAUAAAUAAAUAAAAUGUAUUAAUCUGUGAAAAAUAUCCUAAGUCUGCUGCCUAUGAUUAAGAAAUGUGAUGGAACAGGGAUUAUGAUUAAAAUCUAGUUGAGAGUCUGUCCCCCAUAAAUUAGUCGUAAAGGCUCUUCCUGCUCCGGAAAGGAGUAUACGGUCAUUUGUAUCUAACAGGUUUUGAUCCGUGUGGGUGGGGGGUGGUUACUAAGGAAAUGGAAAUACAUAUACUUGUAUAAAUAGUUGUUUAGGUGACCCCAUCCUCGAGAGCCCAACAAAGACCAGUGAUGAGAAGGUUUUGCAAGACAAUACUUCUAAUUAAGCCAAUCCUUUGUUCCCCACUGAAUUUUAUUAAAACAAUAAGACUAGAAGGAAGUCUGUUAUUUUCAAAGGCAGUGACUAUUGAUGGACAUACAUUUCGUUAAAAGUGUUCUUGUGUAGUGGAUGGUCAUAGGUGCACAUAUAUUUGUAUAAGAGGAAGAAGGUAUAAUUUUAUACCUCAGUGUAUUUUCGGAAAGUCAGCAAGCCACAGACCAGUUCAGGACACAUGUUUUGAGAGGAGGACACGGAUUCAUCUUGUUUUCCGAGACAGAUAUUCGAGGAAACAUCCUCAGCGCUUCCAUUUUUUGGAAGGUGUGCCUGAACCUUUCCAAGUUCCAGCAACAUCAUUACGGGUUGGUAUUUAACCAUUUUGAGUUUUCCUUAGAAAAAUAAAGACAUGGUGUUAUUAUUCCCUGAAUAACAAAAUAAAUCAGUAAAUGACAGAAUCCAUAAAUCUGUAUGUGGAGAACUGGUGGUAUUGUCCUAUGAAAUAAGUAUGUCCACUUCUGCACAAAGAAGUCCAAUAAGAUGAUGUGGGCUCUCUCUGUGGGCAUAGCCGGUAAAGUCAGAUGUCUCUAAUUGUGGUUUUUAUUUUGGGUGGCGCAGUAAAUUCAGUGGUGGUCCCAGUAUUUAAUAGGAAAGAGUAAGUAAACAAAAGAGUGCCAUUCUUAGGGAAAUGAGGAGAAAGUGAUAGGAAGCAGCGUUUCCUAUUCAUCUAGUCCUCUUGACAAAUUUCGGCUUUAAAUAACUAUUGUUUUUAAUAAUAGGCUUUCUUUUUCCUUUGGAGUGCAAACACAGCAAGCUGAUCUGAUCCUUCUCUGACUGGGAAGACCCUGACUAUUCUGGGACUUAGGAGAUUAAAGGCCAAGGUGAGGAAGCAUCAGUGUUGGUGUUAUUACACCUGCUUUACCAUAAGGACAAAUCAGGCAAAAGGCAGAAGAGCAGGUGGACGCUAAUGGUAAGUAAGAGGUUUCUAUGGGGCUGGUGAGCUGAUGAAUCCCUAUGUGUAAAACAGCCUUUUUGUGAAAGGCCACCGAGUCUGUUUGCUCUAUGUGGAUGGGGCAAUGAACAGACCUUGGUUGUAUUCAAGGCUUUUGUUCUCGGUUUUGUGUCAUCAAAUGUUAUUGAUUGUGUCAUUAUUAUUUGUAAAUCCAUAAAUGCAUUGAUCAGUUCAAGAAGGCGUACGUGGAGGAAGAGAUAAAAAGCCAUGUCUGGAUCAAUGAUGCGUCUUGGUGGAGGUAUCUGAAUCCAUAACUUUGAUUACGCCCUCAGUGUAGCUCUGGGGUCCAUUAUAGAAAGAGAACCAGUCCAUACUCUCUGUAGAAAUUAGCUAGUAGAAGUUAGGAAAAUUCAAUACACUUGUUUCUGGGCUCUUACGGUUCUUGGAUAUGGACGGUAUUAUUUCGAGUGAAUCAGUGCAUGACUGAAAAAAAAAAUGUAGGCGCUCCUGUUGUGGCUCAGUGGGUUGAGAACCUGACAUAGUGUCUGUGGGGACGCAGGUUUGAUCCCUGGCCUCGCUCAGUGGGUUAAGGAUCUGCCGUUGCCAUAAACUUCGGUGUAGGUUGAAGAUGUGGCUUGGACCUGGUGGUGUUGUGGCAGUGGUGUAGGCUGGCAGUUCCAGCUUUGAUUUAACCCCUGGCCUGAGAACUUCCAUGUGGUGCAGGUGCGGCCUUAAAAAAAUUAAAUAAAAAUAGGAUUUCUUUAUUUAAAAAAAGAGAAAGAAAUGUGUAUCUGAAAAACUAAGAGGCCUACUCAUGGAACAAUUAGUAGAGCACUAUAAUUAAAUAAGUAUUAAUAUUAAUACAUUUCUGCCGUGAAAUGAACAGGUUUAGCCUGUAAUCCUCUUUCACAUGGAACAUAUUUGUAUCUGUAGUUAAGAGGCAUUGUUUUGAAUUUUGGUAGUUUGGUAUUUUUUUUUAAGUUAAGAAAAGGAAAAGUGGGAGUUCCCAUCCUGGCGCAGUGGAAAUGAAUCCGACCAGGAACCAUGAGGUUGUGGGUUUGAUCCCUGGUCUUGCUCGGUGGCUUGAAUCCCAUGAUGCUGUGGCGUAGGCCAGCAGGUGUAACUCGAAUUUGACCCCUAGCCUGGGAAUCUCCAUAUGCCG
RNAcentral lists this long non-coding RNA (6350 nucleotides) under Sus scrofa (pig). RNAcentral describes it as "lncRNA (ENSSSCG00000062252.1)". The stretch from base 1780 to 1849 matches the Rfam family "Small nucleolar RNA SNORD113/SNORD114 family". The record is from RNAcentral. Lineage: Eukaryota; Metazoa; Chordata; Mammalia; Artiodactyla; Suidae.